GGGCGUUGUUCGUGUGAGAGCGGAGGGUGGCGUGGCCUGCGGUGGUGGGAGUGGACAGGGGAGAGAAGGGAAUGGAUUAGGGGUAUAUUUUGGAGGUAGAACUAAGAGUACUUGGUGAUGGAUGUCGGUGGAGGGUGACGGAGACACAGGUUUAGAGGGUUCCUUUCAGGUUUCUGGUUUGAGCAACUAGCUGGGCUGGAGGGGGUUGGGUGGGAAAACCAGGUGUAGGCAGUGGUGGGGAGGGCAGACCCCAAGCUCACCUUUGGACAUGUUUGAGAUGCCAUGAGACACAUGAGGGAGCUGUCAAGUCAGCGCUGGGUCUGUAAGCCUGCAGGUGGGCUCAGGAAGACCACCCGGGUUGAGCUGCGUCUCUGGGAGCUGUGGGCCCAUCGAUGGUGUUGAAAGAGGUGAAAAGAAGUUCAGUCUCCCAAGGAGACUGUGGAGGUGAGAGGAGAGCGCCGGGCCUGAGCCUGAAGAGGUCAGUAGAUGGGGAGAUGAAGAAGGAAAGUCAGAGAGGAUGGUGGCAAGAAAGCCAAGAAAAGAGAGAGUGGAAGGCGUGUUAACUGAGGAGGAAGAUGGAGGCAUCUGGAACCACUGUGGGAUUCUGUGCAGAGAUUAGGAGUAAGGACAAUAAUGAACACUUAAGGACUCACCGUCUACCAGACAUGGGCUAAAUGCUUUACACCACUUCUCUUAGAUAAUUCUCCCAAGAACUCUGCAGCAUCUCCACUUUACGAAUGAGGAAACGGAAGCACAGCUGUCUUGGGCUUGCCCGGGGCCACACCGCUGAUAGCAGCGGUGCCAGGUCUCACAGUGGUUCUUACUGACUGGAGGCUCUGCACCCAACCAUGGCCCUCACUGCCUUGAUUCUUGGCCCAUACGGGCAAGGAUGGAUGUGCCUUAAACUCACCGUUGGUGCUUUAGAGCUUAGAUUGGGAGGUCUCACUUUAUUGGAGAAUAAACACGAAAACCACUUUGUUUUCUAGUAAUGCCUACUGGCUGUGCUGUGUUGACCAUGACCUGGGCAGCAGGUUCCCUUGGCAACUUCUCAAUUGGGUUCCAUAAUUUUGCACUCACUUCUGCUUAUUGCAACAGUCUCCUGGUUAUUGGAACUUACUCUCAUUCAUUUUGCAAUUUCAACUUCAACUUCAGAGUCCAUUCAGAGCUCCUUGCCUCCUCCCAGCCCUGGCCGUGUCCCUGGAGCCGAGGCUUGGAGAGGAGGAAGGCGUGGUCUGUUUGCUCGCACACCCUCCCUCUCUGUGCAUUUCCCCUGUGUGGUGGUGGUGGCGGGGGUUGGCUGGAGGGAUGGGACAGGGGCUUGCUUGCUUUCUUUCAGGAGGUCAUUGCCUGGUGCAGAUGUUGACCGUGGGUUUGGUGUGGAGAAGUGGAAACCCCAACAAGCCCCCAGGGGUCUGUUGGGAGCUCAGCAAUUUCUAAGCUUUGCGAGCCUGGACCCCAUCUUUCCGACGUCCCCCAGUGGUGGCCUGGUGCCACAUCCUCUUGUUGUCGCCCCGAUUUGGCUCAUGGCUCAGUGGUGUCAGGUGCGCCUGCAGCCCAGUCUCUCCUCUCCGUGGCCUCAUUGCUGGGCUUACGGCAGAGGUAGAUGCAUCUUUAGUUCUUCUGACGCUGGCACUCUCGUUCCAGCCACCUGGCUUCAGGUCCUGCUCGUUGGACAGGGCGGGAAGGCCAAAGGCUACGGAGCCCACCAACCCAGACGCCUUCCUCCGUUUCUUGCAGACGCUGCUAAAUGUGGUGAGGGAGGCUCUGAGGAGAGGGGAGCCACUCUCUUCUGUCACACAGCCUCUGAGUUCCCACGCCUCCCCCCUCACCUCCUCGUGAGGAAGAUCGGCAGGCCAGUUCUCCGCUUCUGCCCCCGAGCGCCGGAGCCCCCUUUGAGCCUGAAGAAUGUGGAACCUUCUGUUUCUGUGUUCCAUGUCUGGGGUCACGUCUAUGACCUCAGAGGUUGAGAGAAGACCCCAGUCAGGGCCUCACUGUUAGGGUUAGGGUUAGCUUGGUGCAGGGGACUGGAUUCCUCUCAGAAAGCUGGCUGCCACGGCAUCUCGGCAACUGUGAAUUUGUAGCUCUAGAGCACCCGGGAAGGGGUAGAAGGACCCGGGAUUGUCCCUUUAGGCUGACCUAGAGAGGAGCAGGGCCAGCUGUGGACUUUUCUCCCUGUUGCUUUGCUUUCCCGAGAGACAGGCCGCGUGAGAGGGUGGCACACUGAUCCUCUCUGGCCAUACAGGGCUCCCGGGGGCCACGAGCAGAGGUGUGGGGCCUGGUGGCCCUGGUCACCCUGAAAAAGGCAAAUCGACACUACAUCUUCCUCAGGAAGGAAAUGGCUCCAGUUCCAACCCCACGGCUGACACUGUUGGCUGCCUUUCUGAGGAAGCGACAGGAGAGAGAGGGUGGUGCGAUUGGCCAGUCUUUGCAGGAACCGGGCCUGGUGAUGGUCACCAGGGCUCCUGAUGGAUAUGAUGACAUAGAGGCUGCCCUCGAAAUGCCAGCGAGGUGGUUAAAAGCACUGGCCAGAAUAGUUGCUAUGAAAGCUACAAAAAAUGCAAGACAGAAUCUGGCCUCUGUAUGCAGAGAACAAUUAAUACAUGUAAAAUGCUAAGCUGUGGAAAAACCCCAAAGAGGUGAUCAGUAGUAGGCCAUUUAAGGACCUAUGUGUGUUUUUAAUAAAAUAUUAAUUUAAAAAACUUUGCUAGAAAUUUAUGCUAAGAUGACAAAGAUUGCCACUGCUAGGAUCAAGGAAGCCGGACUGAAAUUCAGCCGUCCGGAAAGGCUCUGCCACUGGUCGUGGGCUGCAGCUUGUUCAGGGUGAAGCAGGUACCGACGGGAGCCGGCUUUGCUGUGCAGGUGACACACAGGAAACGCUGUAACACAAUAUCCUUGAACUCCUGGAUUUGCACCCUCCCCCCAUCCCAUUUAGGGCAGAGAUUGGACUGCUCUGCCUCCAGUGCUGCCAUUGGAAGUCAGCUUUCCGUACACACUGUGAUAAAACCGAAAGCUUGGAAUAGGAACCAUCUGACAACACUGUGCCGAGUCCCGCAAUCUCAUCAUAAGGACUGGUGCAUCCAAACCACAAAGAGUUUCAACUUUUGCUAUUGUCUUAGAAAUUUUUCAAGAGACACCAUCUGUGUGGUUGUAUGUUUAAUUAAAGUUCAUUAUUCAACCUUGAGCACAACUUUUUUUUCAGAUUGGUUUAAAAAUCAUUUCCAGGGAUCAUGAUAGAGCUUUCUGUUCCUAAGCUCAGAAGGUUUAAUGACAACCUGCUUCUAAGUUAUACUUUCUAUCACUGUAGUGGAUCCCAACUCCCAUACCCACUUCUGUCAUCAGCAUCUCAAAAUCCCUUCAGGGGACCACAGCACAUGUGCCAGGUGUGUCUCCUCAUCACCCACCUAGAGAUGAGCAUGACCUCUCGGUCAGAUCAACCACAAAGGCCAUUCCCCAGGCCACUGGUUGACUGAGUGAUGGGCAAGUGUCCUGAAGCAGGCCAAUGAGAAGCAGUCUGGGAGUGUUGUCUGUAGGUACUUGGAAAGGUGCUCUUUCCACUGGAGCGGCUGAACUGGGAGACUGUGAGCCUGGAGUGGCUGGUGGUCAUCUUGACAGAACAGGGAACAAGGUCAACACAGAGGAAAGCAGGGCUGAGAUAAAUCUAGUUCUCUCUCUCGUCUAUCUUUCUAAUCUUCUAUCUAUCUAUCUAUCAUGUAUCGAUCGAUCUAUAUCUAUCAAUCUUCUAUCAUCUACCUAUCUAUCUUCUAUUGAGAUUCCUGAUGGCAUAAUGGGAGCACUUGAAUCCAGCCAGGCAAGAGGGUACUCACUCUCUUGGAUAGAUUCCUAGGAGUGUAUAUACGGGAUUGCUGGGUCAGAAGGUAACUCUCUGUGUUUAACUUUUUGAAGAACUGCCAAAUGGUUUUCCAAAGUGGCUGCAUCAUUUUAUAUUCCCACCGACAAUGCACUGAAGGUUCCAAUUUCUCCAUAUCCUCGCCACACUUGUUACUGUCUGUCUUUUUUAUUGUAGCCAUUCUGGUGAGUGUUCUUGUGGUUUUUAUUUGCAUUUCCCUAUUGACUAAUAACUGGGCAUCUUUUCGUAUGCUUGUUAACCAUUUGUGUGUCUUCUUUGGAGAACUGCCUCAUCAGACCCUUUGCCCAUUUUUAAAUUGAGCUUUUUGUUGAGUUGUAGGUGUAAAUGUUCCCUCUUUUUCUAUAUUUUGAGGACAAGUCAUUUAUCAGAUGUAUGAUUUGACUAUAUUUUACCCUUUCUGUGGGUUGUCUUUUCACUUUCUUGAUGGUAUCAUUUGCAGUACAAAAGUUUUUAAUUUUGAUGAACUCCAAUUUAUCUAUUUUCUGUUUUGUUGCUGUGCUUUUGGUGUAAUAACUAAGAAACUAUUGCCCAAGCCAAGGUCAUGAAGACUUACUUCCAUGUUUUCUUCCAAGAUUUUUAUAGUUUUAGCUCUUUUUUUUAGGUUUAUGAUCCAUUUUGAGUUAAUUCUUACGUAUGAUGUGAGGAAGGGGGUCAAGCUCAUUCUUUUUUGUAUGGCUAUCCAGUUGUCCCUGCACCAUUGUUGAUGGUGAGGAAGAUUGUCACUGAGUUAACAUCUGUGCCAAUCUGCCUCUAUUUUGUAUGUGGGAUGUCUCCACAGCAUGGCUUGAUGAGUGGUAUGUAAGUCCACGCCCAGGAUCCGCACUGGCAAACCCUGGGCCGCUGAAGUGGAGCAUGCAAACUUAACCACUACGUGACUGGGCCGCUCCCCCAGCACCAUUUUUUGAAAAGACUAUUCUGGCCCCAUUUUUGUUGUCUCAGUACCCCUGUUGAAAAUCAAUUGAUCAUAGAUUUAAGGUUUAUUUCUCAGCUGCCAAUUCUAUUCUGUUGAUCUGUAUGUCUAUUCCUGUGCCAGUAGCAUACUCUUGAUUACUGUAGCUUUACAGUAAGUUUGAAAUUGGGAAGCACAAGUCUUCCAAAUUUGUUCUUUGUUUUCAAGGUUAUUUUGGCUAUUCUGGGUCCCUUGUUUUUCCAGAUGAAUUUUAGAAUCAACUUGUAAUUUCUGUCAAAAAAAGGAGUCAGCUGGGAUUUUGAAAGGGAUUGUAUUGAGUCUGUAGAUCAAUUUAUGGAGUAUUGCCAUCUUAACAAUAUCAUGUCCUCCAAUCCAUGAACAUGGGAUGUCUCCUCAUUUAUUUAGAUCUGUUAAAAUUUCUUUCAACAAUGUUUUGUAGAUUUCAGUGUAUGGAUCUUGUGCUUUUUAUUCCUCAGUAUUUGAUUCUUUUUGAUGCCAUUGUAAAUGGAAUUGUUUUCUUAAUUUUAUUUUUGGAUUUUUCUUUGCUUGUGUGUAGAACUGCAACUGAUACUUACAUAUUGAUCUUGUAUUCUGCAACCUUGCCAAACUUGUUCAUUAGUCCUAAGGGUUUUCAGUAGAUUCUUUAGGCUUUUCUAUAUACAAGAUCAUGUCAUCAUGAUUAGAGAAUUUUACUUCUUCCUUUCCAACCUUGAUGCCUUUUAUUCUUCUUCAUGCCUAAUUGCCUAGCUAGAACCUCCCGUACGUUGUUGAAUAGAAAUGACAAGGGUGGAUGUCUUUGUCUUGUUCCUAAUUUGAAUGGGAAAGCAUUCAAUACUUUAUCAUUAACUAUGAUGUUAGUUGUACUUUUUCAUAGAUACUUUUAUCAGGUUGCAGAAGUUCCCUUCUAUUCCUAGAUUUUUAUAGUGAAAAUCUCCUGGGUUUUGUCAUAUGUAUUUUCUGCAUCUAUUGAGAUGCUCAUGUGGAUUUUGUUCUUUAUUCUACUAAUAUGGUAUAUUGCAUUGGUUUUUGGAUGUUAAACGAACCUUGUAUUCAUGGGAUAAAUCCCAGUUGGUCGUGGAUAGAAUUCUUUUAUAUGAUGCUGGAUUUGGUUUGCUAGUAUUUUGCUCAGGAAUUUUGCAUCUAUAUUUAUAAGGGAUAUCAGUCUGUGGUGUAUUUGUCUGGUUUUGGUAUCAGGUUAGUGCUGACCUCAUGAAAUGACUUGGAAAGAACUACUUCUCUAUUUUUUGGUAGAGUUUGCAAAAAUGGCAUCAAUUCUUCUUUAAAUGUUUGGUAGAAUUCACCAGUGAAGCCAUCUGGGCCGGGCUUUUCUUUGUGGGAAGUUUUAAAAUGACUAAUUCAAUCUCUUGUUACAGGUCUAUUAAGAGUAUCUAUUUCUUUUUGAGUCAGUUUUGGUAGUUUGUAUCUUUCUAGGAAUUUGCCCAUUUUGUCUAACCUGUCUCAUUUGUUGGCAUACAAUUGUUCACAUUUCCUUAUGACUUCCAGUUUCCGGUCUGGCACGUAAAGAGCUUGGAAGUUAUAGUUGCCAUCCUCACAAAAGCAAACAAGCUGAACAAACCAAAAACUGACAACUCUUCUUAUGUUCAACAGAGAAUUGAGGUCAUAGGGGAAACCGCUGCCCGCAAACUGCAGGGAGAGGCGGAUAGAAGAGUCACAGCUUACCAGGAGGAGAAGGCCAGGAGCAGACGUCAGCCACUGGAGCGGUCCUGGUGGGAAAGCUUAACCUGAGAUUGAUGAAUUGCUAUAGGCUCGGUGUGGACUAGCUUGAGAAUUAAAAACUCUGAGGGUCCCUCCUUAGACAAAUCCCCACAUUUUACGAGUUUUAACCCUAGGAACCUCAUCAGGUUCUCAGUGUGAAUAUUGGGUGUCUCCUUGUGCUUUUAGCAGGAGGAGAGCAAAAGUAACCAUUGUGAAAUAUGCCCAGAAGAUUCUGUGCUCCUUAACAAAAGAGUGCCCUCAAAAGAAACUAUUUUUGCCAGUCUAGUGAAUCUGGGGAAAGAGAAAUACCCAACUCCAGCCCCGUCCAGCCCUUGAUGUGGAGGAGGAGAAAUGGCCAACUCCAGCCCCCACUAGCCUUCCUGUGUCACCUCUGGGGGAAAAAACCUAAGAAGAGCUUGUGAAGAUCGCAGCCCAGGGGCAGACUCACACAACAAUGGAGACCUAGUUUUGGGAUACAGCAUGCUUCCCUUCCCCCACACCUUAUCACUACAUCAAUCAAGCUCCUGCAUGAUAGCAGCAGGUUGUAGGUAAAAGAAUGGCAGGGCUCAGACUCCAUCUAAUGCAGUGUCAGAAAACCCAGAGAUGACAGGGGAACAAAAAUAAGGACGCUAAAGGAAAUCUUAGCCUUUUAUGCUCACUGUUACAGCAAACAGUAAACACAGCUUAACACCUAGCCAGACAAACAUAAAACCUCACACCAAAGGCUUAUUCACUUCAGUUCCUUUUACCCAGUAUGUCGUGUCUGGCUUUCAAAAAAAAAAAAAAAAAAAAUGACAGGAUGUAUCAAAAGGCAAAAGACACAGUUUGAAAAGACAAAACAAGUAUCAGAACCAGACUCAGAUAUGGCAGAGAUUUUGGAAUUACUGGCCUGGGAAAUAAAAUAACAGAUUCAUAUGCUAAGGGCUGUAAUGGAAAAAGUGGACAACAUGCAAGAACAGAUGAGUGAUGUAAGUAGAGAGAUGGAAACUCCAAGAAUAAGUUAAAAGAAAGUGUUAGAAAUAAAAAACACCAUAACAGAAAUGAAAAAUGCCUUUGAUGGGCUCCUCAGUAGACUGGACACAGCUGAGGAAAGAAUCAGUGAACUAGAAGGUAGAAACUUCCAAAACUGAAAAGCAAUGAUAAAAAUGAAUGAAAAAAUGGAAGCAGAAUAUCCAAGAACUGUGG
RNAcentral lists this long non-coding RNA (7679 nucleotides) under Equus caballus (horse). RNAcentral's name for it is "lncRNA (ENSECAG00000046748.1)". The record is from RNAcentral. Lineage: Eukaryota; Metazoa; Chordata; Mammalia; Perissodactyla; Equidae.